AUAACUGCUCAAUAUUAUUUGUAGAUCAGUCGGUUUGAGUUUAUUUUAUUUUUACAGGGACAGUGCACAUUAAUCAACGUUUCAGUAAAAGUGCCGGUUUUAGCCAGCCGGCUAAUUUUCAACCGCAGUCCCUGGGCAGGUUAUUAAAAACAAUUACAAUAUAGACAAUAACAACAUAGGACAAGCAAUACAUAGCAUACAGACAGAGAAACAUAGGACAAGCAAGACGUAGCAUACAGACAUAGCAACAUAGGACAAGCAAGACAUACAGUGCCUUGCGAAAGUAUUCAGCCCCCUUGAACUUUGCGACCUUUUGCCACAUUUCAGGCUUCAAACAUAAAGAUAUAAAACUGUAUUUUUUUUGUGAAGAAUCAACAACAAGUGGAACACAAUCAUGAAGUGGAACGACAUUUAUUGGAUAUUUCAAACCUCUUUAACAAAUCAAAAACUGAAAAAUUGGGCGUGCUUCAACACUCAAACAUCAACACUCAAACAUAAUUUACAAAUGAAGCAUGUGUUUAGUGAGUCCUCCAGAUCAGAGGAAGUAGGGAUGACCAGGUAUGUUCUCUUGAUGAGCAUUCAAAAUGUAACAAGUCAUUUUGGGUGUCAGGGAAAAUAUAUGGAGUAAAAAGUACAUUAUUUUAUUUAGGAAUGUUGUGAAGUAAAAGUAGUCAAAAUGUUAAAUAGUAAAGGGAAGUACAGAUACCCUUUUCAAGUAUUUUUACUUAAGUACUUUACACCACUGAUUUUGGUCUGGUUUUUUGAGAGGUUUCAGAGAUGGACUUAUUAUCAUCCCCUCUCAACAGUGUGUUUACUUUACUAUAUGAAGGAGUUGAUCUGUUUGCUGUUACCCUCUGGAAAGCAAAUCAUUAGUAUAGCUAGUAGGCAAGGUUAUGUAAUGUUAUGUAGUCCUGUCUGCUAUGGUGGGUUUUAAAUUAAUUGGUAUUCACAUGUUAGUUUUUUUUUAGGUAGAAUUACUGUCAUGUUAUUGAUACCAAAUUGCAAACCUUAUUUGCACCUUUUCUAUUCCAGAACCAAUGGGUCUUAUCACCUCUCAACUAGGUCAGCUGUUUCAACCUGGAACACUGUGCUCCACACCUGCCUUGUCUGUUGGAGUAAAUACAAACCCGAAGAUGUUCAAGCAGCACUCUGAGAGCAAGCACCCCAAGUCUCCAAUGCUCCCAGUACUGGUUGAUGUGUGGGCCUAAGUGACCACACACACUGAAAUGGACCUACAUCCAGGACUUGUUCCCGCUGAAAGUCUUAACACUUUCAAAAGCGAAUACUGGACAAUAUUUCUAACGUAGAACGUGGGGAAUGGUCAGAGGCGAUCUACAGAACACUAAUGUCGUUUUGUAUGCUAUUUUGUGAUGUCAUUAAAAAUGUUAUAAAGGAAAUACUGUAACUUGGAAAGUAUACCCACUACAUGGAUGAAGUUUCCAUACUAUGGAAUGGAAUGUAAUAUGGAAAAUUAUGAACGUGUUUUUGUUAAGAGAGGGAUGUGAUUUGAUAAGUUAUAAUAGAGAAUUGUUUCCAUAACUUUGCACACCGCCCGGAGUGACGUCAUGGAGCAUGCCAGCCUGCCAGAACCGCCAGUUUUGUGCAAAAGUUAUAGAUGAUGGGUUAUGAAUUACCACAUGGGACCUGAAAAGUGUGAAGCUGCAGCUGCGUGUUUAAAAUGGUUUGAACUUUAAAUCUCAAGUCAAGGUGGAAACGAUAAACUCACCUCCCAGAAAAUCACUGGUACGGCUGAUUGGCUGUUCUAAGUAAAGUAUCUUCAAAAGCGAAUUUAAGUAGGACCAACCUGUUACUCUCCUCAAACCAUCGUAUAUAAGUUAUCGUGAUUUGACUUUAACAUUAAUCUGAAGACUGUUAUUUAUCUAAUUAACUAAGUAUGUUUAAUUGUUACCCGAUUGAAUGAAUCAUGUAAAACAUAACUCAUUGGGAUCUGGGGCACCACGAGAGCGGUUCUUUAAAACUCUAACAUAGUUUUUUGUGGAACAUCUAUCGAUGUGCCCUUGAGCUGGUCGUUGACCCUGGUUGCUUCUGUGUGUCGCUCUGGAUGGGAGUCUUUUAGAUGCGAUGUUGUUGUUGAGCAGCUUC
This is a long non-coding RNA of Oncorhynchus keta (chum salmon), 2103 nucleotides long. RefSeq lists it as uncharacterized. The record is from RefSeq and is a predicted model, not a curated record. NCBI's taxonomy places the organism in Eukaryota, Metazoa, Chordata, Actinopteri, Salmoniformes, Salmonidae. The transcript has 3 exons.